AUUCAGUCAGGAGGGGCGGAGGUGCGAGAUGGUCGACAAUAACGGACCCAUUGAUCGGGCCGGGCCUACUCCACGGUCUCUGCCUUGCCUGACGCAUUUCUUCCCGCUCGAAGGACGCCGCAGCCGGUCGGGUAGCUGCGCGUGUCGGCCAUAAGGACGGACGACGGAAGGUGGCCGGUGGUGUUGCUUCGGCUUCGCCGCCGGUUGUUAUCCAGUCCGCCCGUGGCGCGACACCCGACCGAGGUUCCAUAAGGUCCGAGUCUGGGCCUUGCCGUCCCCUGCCCUAUCGGGGUAGCGUGCGACGCCGGCAGGCGCGUGGCGGCGACGUCGUUUCACUCUCUGUAGUGUGCGGCGCGUCGCUGUCGUCGUUGGCCGGAGCCGCCCCGCGGGGGUUCUGGCGGCUAGCGGCGAGUAGGUCGGUCACCCACCCGACCCGUCUUGAAACACGGACCAAGGAGUCUAACAUGUGCGCGAGUCACGGGGUCUUGUUCAGGCCCAGAGGCGCAAUGAAAGUGAAGGCCGGCGUCAAAGCCGGUCGUGUUGGGACUCCUCGCCCCCUGGCGGGGAAGCACCAACGACCCGUCCUAUCCGAUUCAUCGGUUGGGCGGAGUCUGAGCGUACACGUUGGGACCCGAAAGAUGGUGAACUAUGCCUGGGCAGGACGAAGCCAGAGGAAACUCUGGUGGAGGUCCGUAGCGGUUCUGACGUGCAAAU
RNAcentral lists this ribosomal RNA (714 nucleotides) under Hickmania troglodytes. RNAcentral describes it as "eukaryotic LSU rRNA". The stretch from base 450 to 714 matches the Rfam family "Eukaryotic large subunit ribosomal RNA", at positions 665 to 898 of the family's 3401-position model. Lineage: Eukaryota; Metazoa; Arthropoda; Arachnida; Araneae; Austrochilidae. The record is from RNAcentral.